This 550-nucleotide ribosomal RNA is filed under the name Metacampanella tricolor. Its description in RNAcentral is "SSU rRNA". It matches the Rfam family "Bacterial small subunit ribosomal RNA", at positions 378 to 965 of the family's 1533-position model. The record is from RNAcentral. Lineage: Eukaryota; Fungi; Basidiomycota; Agaricomycetes; Agaricales; Campanellaceae.
CAAAUACUCUCGGGGUGGACAGCUAAUGAAACAUAAGUAAUUUUUUAAAAUUCAUGAUGUCGUAAGGGAAAAUAAUGAUAAUACCUUACUAUGAGUGUCGUCCAAAUCUGGUGCCAGAAGACUCGGUAAGACCAGAGACGCAAACGUUAAUCAUCAUAAACAGGCGUAAAGGGUUUGUAGGCAGCUUUCACCAAACUAUGAUUACAAAAUAAAGUAGUUUAAUUGAAAGCUAGAAUCAAAAAGAGGUUAUAGUGUAUAACGCCUAGAGGAGGGCUGAUAUCCAUAGAUCCUAGGCAGAAUACUCAGGGCGAAGGCCACUCUCCACUACUGAUUGACGCUGAGAAACGAAGGUUAGGGUAGGAAAUAGGAUUAGAUACCCCGGUACUCCUUUCUGUAAACGAUGAAUGGUAGUCAUUAGUUUUAUAACUAGAGACGAAGUUAACACAAUAACCAUUCCGCCUUGUGAGUACUACUGCAAAGUAGAAAACAAAAAAAUUAGUCGGUCUCGAAGCAAACGGAGUGAAGCAUGUUAUUUAAUUCGUAUCCCGCA